RNAcentral lists this ribosomal RNA (1066 nucleotides) under Salmonella enterica subsp. enterica serovar Newport. RNAcentral describes it as "partial 23S ribosomal RNA". It matches the Rfam family "Bacterial large subunit ribosomal RNA", at positions 85 to 1190 of the family's 2925-position model. Lineage: Bacteria; Pseudomonadati; Pseudomonadota; Gammaproteobacteria; Enterobacterales; Enterobacteriaceae. The record is from RNAcentral.
GGUGAUAUGAACCGUUAUAACCGGCGAUUUCCGAAUGGGGAAACCCAGUGUGAUUCGUCACACUAUCAUUAACUGAAUCCAUAGGUUAAUGAGGCGAACCGGGGGAACUGAAACAUCUAAGUACCCCGAGGAAAAGAAAUCAACCGAGAUUCCCCCAGUAGCGGCGAGCGAACGGGGAGGAGCCCAGAGCCUGAAUCAGCAUGUGUGUUAGUGGAAGCGUCUGGAAAGGCGCGCGAUACAGGGUGACAGCCCCGUACACAAAAGCGCAUGUGCUGUGAGCUCGAUGAGUAGGGCGGGACACGUGGUAUCCUGUCUGAAUAUGGGGGGACCAUCCUCCAAGGCUAAAUACUCCUGACUGACCGAUAGUGAACCAGUACCGUGAGGGAAAGGCGAAAAGAACCCCGGCGAGGGGAGUGAAAAAGAACCUGAAACCGUGUACGUACAAGCAGUGGGAGCACAGGUUUACCUGUGUGACUGCGUACCUUUUGUAUAAUGGGUCAGCGACUUAUAUUCUGUAGCAAGGUUAACCGAAUAGGGGAGCCGGAGGGAAACCGAGUCUUAAUUGGGCGUUAAGUUGCAGGGUAUAGACCCGAAACCCGGUGAUCUAGCCAUGGGCAGGUUGAAGGUUGGGUAACACUAACUGGAGGACCGAACCGACUAAUGUUGAAAAAUUAGCGGAUGACCUGUGGCUGGGGGUGAAAGGCCAAUCAAACCGGGAGAUAGCUGGUUCUCCCCGAAAGCUAUUUAGGUAGCGCCUCGUGAAUUCAUCUCCGGGGGUAGAGCACUGUUUCGGCUAGGGGGCCAUCCCGGCUUACCAACCCGAUGCAAACUGCGAAUACCGGAGAAUGUUAUCACGGGAGACACACGGCGGGUGCUAACGUCCGUCGUGAAGAGGGAAACAACCCAGACCGCCAGCUAAGGUCCCAAAGUCAUGGUUAAGUGGGAAACGAUGUGGGAAGGCCCAGACAGCCAGGAUGUUGGCUUAGAAGCAGCCAUCAUUUAAAGAAAGCGUAAUAGCUCACUGGUCGAGUCGGCCUGCGCGGAAGAUGUAACGGGGCUAAACCAU